RNAcentral lists this ribosomal RNA (497 nucleotides) under uncultured bacterium. RNAcentral's name for it is "partial 16S ribosomal RNA". It matches the Rfam family "Bacterial small subunit ribosomal RNA", at positions 28 to 507 of the family's 1533-position model. The record is from RNAcentral.
GAUGAACGCUGGCGGCGUGCCUAAUACAUGCAAGUCGAGCGAACGGACGAGAAGCUUGCUUCUCUGAUGUUAGCGGCGGACGGGUGAGUAACACGUGGAUAACCUACCUAUAAGACUGGGAUAACUUCGGGAAACCGGAGCUAAUACCGGAUAAUAUUUUGAACCGCAUGGUUCAAAAGUGAAAGACGGUCUUGCUGUCACUUAUAGAUGGAUCCGCGCUGCAUUAGCUAGUUGGUAAGGUAACGGCUUACCAAGGCAACGAUGCAUAGCCGACGUGAGAGGGUGAUCGGCCACAUUGGAACUGAGACACGGUCCAGACGCCUACGGGAGGCAGCAGUAGGGAAUGUUCCGCAAUAGGCGAAAGCCUGACGGAGCAACGCCGCGUGAGUGAUGAAGGUCUCCGGAUCGUAAAACUCUGUUAUGAGGGAAGAACAUAUGUGUAAGUAACUGUGCACAGCUUGACGGUACCUAAUCAGAAAGCCACGGCUAACUACGUG